CUAUACUUACCCUUUUUUGGUUGUUUAAAUUUAUAUCUUUAAACAACGUUUUUGGCUGUUGGAAAAAUGAGUUUUAUUAGUUGGGAAAAAAUAAGCUUAUCCCAACGUUUUCUUUAAUGUAUUGGAAAAUAUUUUAUCUAACCUAACUGUGUUGCUGAAAAUACCCACAUCACUUUAAAACGGUGGGGUUUAAUAAACCAGAAAAAUUAACCCUAGAGACACUGGUUUCUUUCUGCAGCCACAGGUCUUCUUCCGCCUUUUUCUUCUUCAUCACUAGACGACUUCUUCUUUGCUUAGAUCUGAUUUUUAUUUCAACAGUUAUCUUUCACUAACGUUUCAGCCACGCGGCUUUCCCUUAACUUUUGCUCUCAAAAUCUCUCUUUCUUCGCUGCUUCACACACUCCAAACAAUCCACAACUCAGUAGUGGCACAGCUAUGGAUGAAGAAUUCUCGUUCGACGAUCCAACUUAGUUGCUCGACUCAGCUUCUGAUUUCGCUCACCACCCCGGUUCUCUUAACGAUGCUGCAGUCAAAGAUUUUAUCGACCAUUUCCCUCUCCCUGUCAUCAUCAGGCACUCCAUUUUACUUCUACUUAAAUUUUCUUUUAUGCUCAUUUUUUUUCUCUCUAUUAAUUUGGGUAUUUCUAGGAAUUUUUUUACUGGGUAUUUGUUAUAUAAUUGCAAUCAUAUAACUUUGUUGCUUUGAUGCUGAAAUGAAUCACUUUUCAUCACGGGGGAUUUGUUUUAGGGUUUUCAGUUUUGACUUAAAAUAAUGGGGUUUUAGCUUUUACUAGCCCUCUUACAGUGCUUUGCAAACUAAAUCCGAUGUGCCUGACCUGGAAAAUACUCUGGUUGCUUGUUUGGAGAAAGUGUUUAAGACUAAGUAUGGUGCCUCACUCAUUCCACAAUACAUGGUAUGCAUUUGGUCUUCACUAAAUUAAUUGCUUGUUUUUCACUUGUAAAGGAAAAAACAAUUGAUUAGCUUCAGAUGUAAUAUAUGUUGUUUGGAUGCCUUGUGGGAAUGAGAGUCUUCAGAUAAUAUUAGCAUUACAAAAACAUUUUGAUGUUUUGAGUGUAGGCUUGAGUUGUUAGUGAUUAUUAAUUCCUUGAUAGUUAUGUUUUGGGUUUGAAAUGAUUCAGAAUGGGCACAGUUUUAGACAUGUUUUAAGAUCUUGAAUAAGUUAGUCUAAAGUAGCAUUUUUAAUAGUUUGGACUUUGGAAUUUAUAAUGUCCUCAUUUAUAUAGGCUUGUGAAUUUAUUAUGAAAUUUGAAACUACAUCUUCUGUUUUUUAGGCUUGUGAAUUUAUUAUGAAAUUUAUAAUGUCCUCAUUUUUAACAGUUCUGUUUUUUUCUUUUGUUUAAUUUUAUUUUAUCAAAUCUUAAGAGCUUUAGAAUCUUAUUGUUUCUGGUCUACAACUGAUAGGAAAGAGCUGAUCACGGUACUGCUCUUUCCCAUGGAUGAUCCACCUUGAAUGAUAGUCAUUCCACACCAAUUUCAUUUGUUGGCCUUUGCUAUAGUGUUGAAAUCAAGGAUUCACAUAAGAGCUGAUCACAGUACUGCUCUUUCCCUUGGAUGAUCCACCUUGAAUGAUGGUCAUUCCACACCAAUUUCAUUUGUUGGCCUUUGCUAUAGUGUUGAAAUCAAGGAUUUACAUAUUCCACCUUGGAUUAUCAGCAAAAUAUGUUCUCUAAUGGCCUCUAAAGGACAAAGCUUUGAAGCAAGGUAUAAUAUACAUUUUUUUUCUUAGAUCAAAUUAUUGCAUUCUAUCAGAUGUCUUAUUUUAGGUCUAUCAUCAAUUAUGAUAUCAACUAAUGUUUGGGAUGAUAUGAAAUUGUACUACUUUUUUCUCCCUCCUCCCCUUUUAAAAUGAGAAGUUUUGAAUGCAACUAUGAUAUCAUAAUAUUUUAAGAUGUUUACACACACAAAUGAUGCUGUAAUAUAUUGUUGGUUCCCUAACUUAUGAGGGUAAACAACAUGAACAAGAAAAAAAUGCUACAGGCAAACUAAUGGUAUUACCUACCUUUUUGUCUGAUUUUAUUUGGGGUCAUUUUUCAGCUUUACAAUGUAGCACUUUAGUUGUCUUAAAUACAACUUUUGGAGUGGUUUCUCAGGUAGUUGAUAGAGAAGUCACACUUAAAGAUUCACAAGAAACAACCUAUACAUUCUAUAUUCCCGAAGCAAUUGUUUCCCCUUGGUUGCAGUUUCAGACUGUAUUAGCUUUUAUGUAGUACAAUAUUAAUAUCAAUGUCCAUCGUCUUAGGUUUUUUAUUUGUUCACUUUUGUACAUUGAGUUGAAUGUUGUUGCUAUACAUUUCGACUAAAUGUUAGUGUAUUUUGAUUGUUGGAUUUGUUGUAAAUUAAAUGGAUGUCUAUAACCCCUUAAGCAUAUUAAAGUAAUGAGAUAAAACUCUUUACUUCAUUUAUAAUUUGGAGAUCAUUAAAUGGAGUAAUUAAGAAAAUUUAGUUCAUUAAUUAAAUGUAAUACAUUUAUUAAUUGAAUGUAAAGGAGCUUAUAAAUAGCACAUUGUAAGUGAAAAUAAGAUAAUGAAAAAUUCUCUCGUAUUUUAUCCACUUUUAUUUAUUUAUUUUAGUAAUUUUUUAUAACACGUUAUUAGCACGAGCUUCUACGAGUUCAUAGUGAAGAUCACGUCAUUUCGACUUUAUAUAAUUUGCCCGUAUAACUCUCGUUAAACUAUAUACGGUAUAAGUAUUUUCAUAAUUCUUUUAUUUUAUUUUCUAGAUAAAAUAUUUGUUUUGGGUAACAUUUUCACAUUUAUUUUUACAACUAAAAUCUAAUAAUGAUAAUUAUAUAUACAUGUUUUAUUUUAUUAAAAGAAAUUUCAAUUAAUAUAAUUUGUGUUUAGUUAUUACUAUGACUAUUUCUCUGUAUGUCAAUAUUUGACAUACAUAUUAUUAUUUAGCAGAUUUGGUAUAUAUAAUUGAAUUGUUUUACGAUUGAGAAUGCUUAUUAUUUUAUUAAUAUAUAUUUUUUAUUCAAGUGAUUAUAAUGUCAAAUCUUGUCAAACUUGAAUUUGCGGCCUUAGACAUCUUAGGCAAGAAUUAUUUGUCAUGGGUGUUAGAUGUUGAAAUUCACUUAGAUGCUAAAAGUUUAGAAAAUAGUAUAUUAGCAGAUAAAGAAGCAUCUAAUCAAGACAAGACAAAAGUAUUGAUUUUUAUUCGCCAUCAUCUACAUGGGUUAAAAGUAGAAAUUUCACUAUGAAAGAUCCUCUUGAAUUGUGAAAAAAUUGGAAGAACGAUUUGUCAUCAAAAAACAGUGAUACUCCCUAAAAUUCUUUAUGAUUGGAUGUAUUUACAGUUGUAAGAUUUUAAGUAAGUGAAUACAAUUUAGAACUUUUUAAAAUUAGUUUAACUAAAAUUAUGUGGAGAAAACAUAAUUGAUGAAGACUUAUUAAAGAAGAUAUUUUCAACUUUUCAUGUUACUAAUGUGCUCCUGUAGCAGCAUUAUCGUGAAAAAGAUUUUAAAAGAUAUUCUUAAUCGAUUUCAUGUCUUUUGGUGGCUGAACAAAAUAAUGAGCUAUUGAUGAAAAAUCAUAAAAUUCGUCCCAUUGGUUUUGCACCAUCCCUUGAAGUGAAUGUAGAGUACACAAUAAAUAUGUAAAUAGAAAAUAUAGAGGUUGUGAUUGUGGUCGUGGUCAUGGACGUAGUGGGAGACGUGGUUAAGGACAUAUUAGUAAUCGUUACCAUGGUGGUCAUAACACUGAUACUUCUAACCAUCAGAAAAGAAUAAUAAUGAAAGACAAGAAAGAAGUGGUCAAAAUAAUCCUUCAAAGAUUGUUGAGAAUAUAUGCUAUCGAUGUGGUAUGAAAGGGCAUUGGUCACGUACCUGUCGUACGUGUAACAUUCUGAAAUAGUGCCUAAACGGAACAGUGGUUGCGAAACCAUAAAUCUAAGGUAGAAAAAUUUAUUUUAUUAUCAUUUUAAGGUUUAUGGCAUGAUUGCAUGAUUGUGUGAAAAUUUCUAAAUGAAAUUUUAUCGAUAGAGGGUCCAAUUUGAUAUUUAGGACUAAAUUGUAAAAGUCGUAAAAUGUGUGUUCUAGUUCACAAAUGUACUAAGUACUUGUGAGUAAUGUGUUUUUAAAGUGGAGGUCCUUGGAUAGUAAUUAGAUCAUUAUACUAGUUUGGACAAAAAUACCUAAAGGAAGAUAAAACACCAUAGUUUUUAAUUAAUAGCAUUUUGGUCAUUUAGUUAUUAAAAUGAAUUAAAAACAAAAUUAAAAGUCAAUUUUUGUUCAUCUUCAACUCCUUGGUCGAAUUUCACAUGAGGAAGACAUAGCUAGGGUUUUUUAAGCUUCUAAACUCGAUUGUAAGUCCGUUUUAGCCCUGUUUUUAAUGUUUUUUUACGUUUUUGGAGUCCCGGUAACUUAAUUAAGCUUAUUUUAGCAAUAAUUUAACCCAGGGUUUAUAUUUGGAAAAAUACCCAUAGGUGAAAUGUGUUUAUUUUGAUUUUUUAUGGUAGAAUAUGAAGCUUGAAAUUGUGUUAAACAAUUUUUGUUAAGCGAUUUUAUGUGAAAACGAGUAAAACGACAUAAUCGGUAAAAAUUCCUAAUGUUCAUAAGUACAUGUUAGAGUGAGAAUUUGAUGUUUCCAUAGAAGGAAAAAUGAUUAGCAUGUCAUAAAAUAUAAAAAAAUAGGAUGAAGUUUAAUUUCCGAGCCUUAGGGCAAAAGUGUAAAUAUGUAAAAGUUUAGGGGUAAAAAUAUAAUUUUUCUAAAGUUUGAGUCAAGGACUGUUUUAAUAAAUGUGAGUAUUAAAUAAGCUAAAUUUAUUAUUAUAGAUCAAGAAGAAUGAAAUUCGGAGGUAAACCGGGAAAAGAAAAAGAUAAUGGACUAAAUCGAUAUAGUUGAUUGUAUUUUGUUUUGAGGUAAGUUUGCGGUAAAUAAAUAUAAUAUUCUAUUAGUUUAUGUUAAUUUUGUUAAUUUUCAGCAUGUGUAUAUUUAUUUUAUGAAAUUAUUCAAAGAAGACUCAAGCAUGAAUUGACGGAGAAGUAAUUUCAAAAAGUCCCGGUUGAACAUUAAGAAUGUGUAGGAUACAAAUGUCAUGACAUUAGGGUUUAAGGAUACCAUAUAAGACCAUACCAAGGCAUGACAAUUGGUAAGGUUUUUAAGGCAAGGAUAUCAUGUAAGAUCAUGCCAAGACAUGGCAUUGAUAAGUUUCUAUAAGGCAAAGGUCCCAUGUAAGACCAUGCCAAGGCAUGGCAUUGGUGAGUUGAUAAGACAAUGAUACCAUGUAAGACCAUGUCGAGACAUGGCAAUGGUAAGUUUCAAAAGGAUACCACGUAAGACCAUGACAAGUCAUGACAAUGGUAAAAUUACCCGUGUAUCCUUAGUAUUCCAAGUGAUUCAAUGGAAAAUUUUAAAGAGAAUAUCAAGGUAAAGUUAAGUAAGACGAGUUAUACUAAAAAGGGUAAGACAAGUUCAUACUAGAAGAGCAAAGGUAAGUAUAAAAUGUUCAUGUAUGCUUGAUAAGGAAAAAGGUAAAUAAAAUGUAUUAAUAAAUUUGAUUAAAUAAGUAUUUAAGUAAGUGAGUGAGUGAAGAAAUUUAAAAUGUCUAUGACAAUUAAUGAAGUUACAUUAAGUAGUAUAAUGCCAAGUAGUAAGAUAAUUCUUAUGAAUGUUGUUAUUUAUUUGCAUGCAAACUUACUAAGCUUAAUGCUUACCCCCUUUAUUUUCUUUCUUUUUAUAGUUUUGUCAAGCUAACUUAGGGAUCGUAAAGUACGUCGGAGGUCCAG
This 5746-nucleotide long non-coding RNA is filed under the name Gossypium barbadense (sea-island cotton). RNAcentral describes it as "long non-coding RNA (GBAR_LNC002138)". Lineage: Eukaryota; Viridiplantae; Streptophyta; Magnoliopsida; Malvales; Malvaceae. The record is from RNAcentral.